Molecule: transfer RNA, 89 nt
Filed under: Methylovorus glucosotrophus SIP3-4
Lineage: Bacteria; Pseudomonadati; Pseudomonadota; Betaproteobacteria; Nitrosomonadales; Methylophilaceae
Description: tRNA-Und (NNN) (tRNA-Und-NNN-1-1)
Source: RNAcentral
GAAAGGUGCAUAGAUACUACAAACUAUGGAAUGACUCGAAAUCAGGCAUACGUGCAAGCGUAUCGAGGGUUCGAAUCCCUCCCUCUCCG